RNAcentral lists this ribosomal RNA (253 nucleotides) under uncultured bacterium. Its description in RNAcentral is "partial 16S ribosomal RNA". It matches the Rfam family "Bacterial small subunit ribosomal RNA", at positions 524 to 776 of the family's 1533-position model. The record is from RNAcentral.
UACAGAGGUCUCAAGCGUUGUUCGGAUUCAUUGGGCGUAAAGGGUGCGUAGGCGGCGCGGUAAGUCGGGUGUGAAAUCUCGGAGCUUAACUCCGAAACUGCAUUCGAUACUGCCGUGCUUGAGGACUGGAGAGGAGACUGGAAUUUACGGUGUAGCGGUGAAAUGCGUAGAUAUCGGGAGGAACACCAAUUGCGAAGGCAGCUUGCUGGGACGGUACUGACGCUGAGGCGCGAAAGCGUGGGGAGCAAACAGG